Small nuclear RNA from Aotus nancymaae (Ma's night monkey), 126 nucleotides. The record is from Ensembl. Lineage: Eukaryota; Metazoa; Chordata; Mammalia; Primates; Aotidae.
ACCGUGCUUUUCUUGGGGUUGUGCUGCAGUCCAGUGAGUACGUAGUGAGGGCAAUACUGCUAAUGCUUACACAACAUGUAUGCAUCAACUGGAGCUUAGCUUUACCUUGGUGCAAUUUUUGGUAAA